This 995-nucleotide ribosomal RNA is filed under the name uncultured organism. RNAcentral describes it as "bacterial SSU rRNA". It matches the Rfam family "Bacterial small subunit ribosomal RNA", at positions 226 to 1223 of the family's 1533-position model. The record is from RNAcentral.
UAAGCAUGCGGGACAUUAGCUAGUUGGUAAGGUAACGGCUUACCAAGGCGACGAUGUCUAGGGGGUUUGAGAGGAUGAUCCCCCACACUGGUACUGAGACACGGACCAGACUCCUACGGGAGGCAGCAGUGAGGAAUAUUGGGGCAUGGGCGCAAGCCUGACCCAGCCAUGCCGCGUGCAGGAUGAAGGUCCUAUGGAUCGUAAACUGCUUUUGUAUGGGAAGAACUUCCCGCAUUCGUGCGGGAUUGACGGUACUAUACGAAUAAGGACCGGCUAACUCCGUGCCAGCAGCCGCGGUAAUACGGAGGGUCCAAGCGUUAUCCGGAUUCACUGGGUUUAAAGGGUGCGUAGGUGGAACGAUAAGUCGAUGGUGAAAGCCUACAGCUUAACUGUAGAAUUGCCAUUGAUACUGUUGUUCCUGAGUAUAGUCGGGGGAAGUGGAAUGCGUAAUGUAGCGGUGAAAUGCAUAGAUAUUACGCAGAACACCGAUCGCGAAAGCAGCUUCCUAGGCUAUUACUGACACUGAGGCACGAAAGCGUGGGGAGCGAACAGGAUUAGAUACCCUGGUAGUCCACGCCGUAAACGAUGCUCACUCGCUGUUGGCGAUAUAUUGUCAGCAGUUAAGCUAAAGCAUUAAGUGAGCCACCUGGGAAGUACGUCCGCAAGGAUGAAGCUCAAAGGAAUUGACGGGGGCCCGCACAACCGGUGGAACAUGUGGUUCAAUUCGAUGAUACGCGAGGAACCUUACCUGGGCUUAAAUGUAGUUUGACUUCCGCCGAAAGGCGGUUUUCCUUCGGGACAGAUUACAAGGUGCUGCACGGCUGUCGUCAGCUCGUGCCGUGAGGUAUCGGGUUAAGUCCCUUAACGAGCGCAACCCCUAUUGUUAGUUACCAACAGGUUAAGCUGGGGACUCUAGCAAAACUGCCAGCGUAAGCUGGAGGAAGGUGGGGAUGACGUCAAGUCAGCAUGGCCCUUAUGUCCAGGGCUACACACGU